This 538-nucleotide long non-coding RNA is filed under the name Zostera marina. RNAcentral's name for it is "long non-coding RNA (ZMAR_LNC005281)". Lineage: Eukaryota; Viridiplantae; Streptophyta; Magnoliopsida; Alismatales; Zosteraceae. The record is from RNAcentral.
UCGAUUGACCCUAAUGUAAAAAAAAUUGAAAUUACAAAGAAAAUAUGAAUAUUGAUUUAUAUAUAAAUGCUAAUUACCUCAAUCGUCUCUCGACGUAAGUCUUCCCUUAGUUCCUUUAGUAUAUCCGGCAUCUGUUUUCUAAUGGCCUCUUGAACUGCCCGAUCAAAGUCUUCUUUACUUUUUUGUUGUUGAAUUUCUAUAAAAUUCGUCGUUGUGUUAUGUGAAGACGUCGCCAUAUUAUCAGGAAUUGGUAAUGGCAUUGGAUCACCUGCUCUGGUUCCAAGCACACGGCCUUUCUUUUUUCCCUCAGUAGCUUUGACCCAUAAUUCUAAAUUAUCAGGGAGUGUGUGUGAUCCAUUUGAUGAGUUGAUCUCAGAAUUUUCGGCUUCCAUAGCAUUUCUUUGAAGCUCAUUAUAGUCAGCCUAUAAAAAUGAAAAUCAAUAAUAAAUAAAAAAUAUGACUUAAAUAUCUUAAAACGAAGCGUUUCUAACGAAUUUUCUUACAAUGAAGCAUCCUCCCUUUGGAUGAGCCCAGUCGU